This is a long non-coding RNA of Athene cunicularia (burrowing owl), 1652 nucleotides long. RefSeq lists it as uncharacterized. NCBI's taxonomy places the organism in Eukaryota, Metazoa, Chordata, Aves, Strigiformes, Strigidae. The transcript has 2 exons. The record is from RefSeq and is a predicted model, not a curated record.
CCGGGCCGGGCCGGCCUCCCCCCCUCGAAAAUAUCCCGGAGCGACUCCCGAGGCAGUGCCGCCGCCGAAGUCGCAUGACUGUCAUCCUUCCGAGGAACAGGAAGGCAAUUUCAGGCAGUGGAAGCAGUACGAAGAAAGAGAUGGGACAAGACUGCGCCAGCAUUUGGGCAGAUUGUAGGGAUGAUGGAAAGCGCUGUAGAAUCAGGCAGAGCUGGGUACUGGACUGCUCAGCAUAUGCAGCUGGAAGCCAUGGUGAACAUACUGGGAGGUGACACUGGGCCUGCUCCACUGCUCCUUCCACAGCAGCUGGCCCCCGCUGGACACAGUGCCCUCAACAGAAGUCACAAGGCAGCUGAAGACCUGAAAGAAAGUCUAGUGCACCCAAUGCUUAUGUUAUACUGUCCCAGGGGUCAUGUGAGAUGAACAGCUGAUAAAUGAUGGCAUACCUGGAAUAAGUUCUCUGUUUGCCACUCUAGGGCAAUAUAUAAGAAGAAAAUGUGGGUCUUACUACAGGCACACUUAAACCAUAUGAAGGAGACCUGUAUUUUGAAAUGACAGGUCCUCCUCCAUGACUGGAGCAUGACCUAGUUGCUGACUGAGCUAUCUGUUGUUUAUAGGCAAUGAUUCCUCACAAACAAAUCAACUAAAUGAACAAACAGGGUGAUAAAGUAGAGUCAAGAACUGCAUUGUCCUCCUCAGAGUCAUAAAAACUCAUCCCUUUUACAACUGCUGAGUGCUUUGCCAAUAUCAUGCCAAGGUGAGAGCAGCGGGGGGAAGGGAAAGAUAGUGAGAAGGAAAAUAAAUGGUCCAGGUAAACAGUGCUGCUGCUGCUGCAGCAGCUGUGGUUGUCAUGGUGACUGGGGUGAAGAAGAGGAGGAGGAGAAGGGAGGCAGAUUGAUCGAUAGUCCUGUGCUAGCUCAUCUGGCUUCCAUCCACGUGCUGCUACAGAGGGAGAGAAAAUCAAAGAGCCACACGCAGGGCGGACAGGGCUCCGAUUCGAUACAUGGCAGCAGCUUGAUCAAUAGCUUGUUGGAAGGUGGGUAAUUGACUCCCCUUCCACCCAGGAGAAAGCAGUGCAGCGAUAGAGAUGUGUUCGUUAGCUACUGAUUCUCAGCUCUACUUUAUCACCCAGUUUGUUCAUUUAGUUGAUUUGUUUGUUUGCUUGCUUGAGAUCCCCUCUUCAGUCCGAUUUCUCCCUGUACCUGUCAAAGAUGAGCGCACCAGCUGCUGGAGCAGAGCCAGGACUGCCCUCAAGUUUCUCAGUUGCUUUCCCUCUCCUCUCCUUUCUUUGGUCACAACUGGGUUUUUUAUCUCACACUGGCAGAGGUUUUGAUGCGGGAAGCUGAAAACAAGGACAACCUUUUCUUAUGGGAUUUCUAGAGCUUCCUUUUCUGGCUGGGUCCAGUGGAACUUAAGUAUAGCUCAUCUGAAUGCAAGGAGCACAGUAGCUCCCCCAAAAAUUCAAUAGUUAAGUCUAUUUUUGUACCUCACAAACCAAGUGAAUUACAGGGAGAGAUUUACAACUGUUAUUUUUGUAAAUCUGCUGUUCUCUAGAGGAGUUACCCACAGAGGGUGACCAGGUGAUGCUAUCAGAAAAGACAGAAAAGAAGAGGUAGCAGAGGAAAGGGCAGGAAAUCAGGGCAUGCUGAGAA